Molecule: ribosomal RNA, 492 nt
Filed under: uncultured bacterium
Lineage: Bacteria
Description: partial 16S ribosomal RNA
Rfam family: Bacterial small subunit ribosomal RNA
Source: RNAcentral
AGUGAACGCUGGCGGUAGGCCUAACACAUGCAAGUCGAACGGCAGCACAGUAAGAGCUUGCUCUUACGGGUGGCGAGUGGCGGACGGGUGAGGAAUACAUCGGAAUCUACUUUUUCGUGGGGGAUAACGUAGGGAAACUUACGCUAAUACCGCAUACGACCUACGGGUGAAAGCAGGGGAUCUUCGGACCUUGCGCGAUUGAAUGAGCCGAUGUCGGAUUAGCUAGUUGGCGGGGUAAAGGCCCACCAAGGCGACGAUCCGUAGGGGGUCUGAGAGGAUGAUCGUCCGCCUUGGAACUAAAACACGGUCCAGACUCCUACGAGAGGCAGCAGUGGGCAAUGUUGGACAAUGGGCGCAAGCCUGAUCCAGCCAUACCACGUGGGUUAAGAAGACCUUCGGUUUGUAAAGCCCUUUUGUUGGGAAAGAAAAGCAGCAGGUUAAUACCCCGCUGUUCUGACGGUACCCAAAGAAUAAGCACCGGCUAACUUCGUG